GAUGAACGCUGGCGGCGUGCUUAACACAUGCAAGUCGAACGGUGAACCCGGAGCUUUCUCUGUCUGAUCAUUGGCGAACGGGUGAGUAACACGUGAGCAACCUGCCCCUGACUCUGGGGUAAGCGCUGGGAACGGCGGCGAAUACUGGAGAUGUGACGUUAUCGCGUGGUCUGCGUCUGUGAAGAAUGUCGGUUGGGGAUGGUUUCGCUGCCUAUCAGCUGCUUGGGGAGGUAGUCGCGGACCAAGGCGUCGACGGGUAGCCGGCCUGGGAGGGUGAACGGCCACCAGGGGCCUGCGACAGGGCCCAGACGCCUACGGGCGGCAGCAGUGGGGAAUCUUGCACAAUGGGCGCAAGCCUGAUGCAGAAACGCCGCGUGCGGGAUGCCGGCCUACGGGUUGUAAACCUCUUUUAGAAGGGAAGAAGCGAACGUGACGGUACCUGCAGAAAAAGCCACGGCUAACUACGUG
This 468-nucleotide ribosomal RNA is filed under the name uncultured bacterium. RNAcentral's name for it is "partial 16S ribosomal RNA". It matches the Rfam family "Bacterial small subunit ribosomal RNA", at positions 28 to 507 of the family's 1533-position model. The record is from RNAcentral.